GUUAUAGCCAUAUUUGUGGUUCUGCCUACUUUCACAAAAAGUGCUCGAAAUGCUCACCUUCAGUUUGAAUGCAAGUUUGUUGAAUACGAAUAAGUUGAACAUUGGCAAUAGGAGACAAUUGAUUUUAAAUGUCCCCAGAGAUACAAAUCUAAUAGAUUUGAAUUGGGAAACUGAGCGGGCUAAGUAACUGGACCACCACGACUUAUCCAUUGAUUGGCAAACCGUUUGUUCAGAUCCUGCUCGAUUUUUGGCGACAAUCUGUUGUCA
Molecule: long non-coding RNA, 267 nt
Organism: Camponotus floridanus (Florida carpenter ant)
Lineage: Eukaryota; Metazoa; Arthropoda; Insecta; Hymenoptera; Formicidae
Exons: 3
Source: RefSeq, a predicted model, not a curated record